Long non-coding RNA from Anguilla rostrata (American eel), 630 nucleotides. RefSeq lists it as uncharacterized. The record is from RefSeq and is a predicted model, not a curated record. The transcript has 3 exons. Lineage: Eukaryota; Metazoa; Chordata; Actinopteri; Anguilliformes; Anguillidae.
GCACCGGACUGUCAAUCAAAUUGUAAAAAUCACAAGACCGCUUAACUCUAUGGUUUUGGCUCCAAAUCGAGAAAAUGGCCGCGCCGCCAUUGAGCUUCAAAACGUGUUUUAGAGACCCACGGAGAGUCAAUGGGUGACGUCACAGUAGCUGUGUCCAUAUUUUUUACAGUCUCUGAUCUUAACCCAAUCUCUCCUGGUCAACACACUUUCCCCUUACGUCACAUCCUUACUAGGGUAGUCUUCCAACUACUCUCGGAAAGUAAUACAGUGCCUCCUAGUGGUCAGAAUACACUCAACCUGUAACAUCUAUUAUUGAACACAACAAAUUGCAUGGUAUGAAACGGGAAUGAACUAUUUUUUCUUGAUAAAAUCAUUGUUUUCAUAGAACUUACGACCAGAGAUGUUUGCUUAACAACGGUGCGACUAGAACUACAAACCAGAGUGUCUGCAUAAGGACGGUCCAAUUAGAACUACGAAGCAGAGUUUUGCUUGACAACGCUGGCUAGAGUGUCGCCGGAUUGUGCAGUACACAAGUCUUGUACAGUAUCCAGUCUUCUGGGCCAUGUAACAGUAGGAACAGAGACGAGACUAACGGCAACCAAUGAACAAGUUGAGGAUGUUUCAGUGUUG